CCAUCUCAGGAAUUGUGGGUUCUAGUAGGUAACCCUCCCAUGCCGCCACCAGCUUAGAGUCGGGCUCACGAAUCAUAAAGCCAGCCCCACAGUGCCUACCUUUGACGCUCCCAUCAAAACUAAUCUUAAGAUACGAUGAAGGAGAGGGCUCCCAUGAAAUGAAUACUUGAUGGAUCACUGCAUGACCAAGGUGGGAGCCCCAGAUCUCCGACUGUCUGGAUGUCACAUCCAUUGUCUUCGCUGCUAUGGCCAAGGCUCUCACCACAGUAAAUCUCAUAGA
RNAcentral lists this long non-coding RNA (280 nucleotides) under Elaeis guineensis (African oil palm). RNAcentral describes it as "long non-coding RNA (EGUI_LNC004980)". The record is from RNAcentral. Lineage: Eukaryota; Viridiplantae; Streptophyta; Magnoliopsida; Arecales; Arecaceae.